CAGGGCAGCCCGUGCCUUGUAAGACUGGAGUUCAGGCAGAAGGGACAGGCGACAGACCCAGAAAACAGGGUGCUGGGAGAGAUACCUGGGGAGGAGGCCAGAGUCAGGCUCUACCACCAACUGUGUCAUGGCCCUUGGGCAGGGGUCCUCUCCGAACUUCAGUGGCUUCUUCGUAAAAUGGGAGAAAAGAACCAGUUAACCACAGAGGCUUUUGGACAUGAAAUGAGACUACGACAACAGGAAACCAGAAGCCAAGGUAUCCCAGGCGUUGGGAAGAGCCAAGGCUGAGACUGCCAACUGGGGGCACCAGUUCCAGCCGUGCUUGACUUUGAGGCUGGCACCUUCUCCCUGGCUCUCUGCACCGUGCCCCUCUCCACACGCCACCCAUCAAGGGACAAGAUAAUGUGCUUUAUCGGGGGCAUUUAUUAUCGACAAUUGCUUCAUAAAUCUCCCUCUAUUCACACGCAUACGUAUAAGAGGUGGAGAAGUACGCAGGGAAGACUUCUGCGCCAACCCCCC
RNAcentral lists this long non-coding RNA (519 nucleotides) under Marmota monax (woodchuck). Lineage: Eukaryota; Metazoa; Chordata; Mammalia; Rodentia; Sciuridae. The record is from RNAcentral.